CGUCAACAUUUUUAAAUGGAAAAAUAAUCACGUGUUUGUGGAGUGAAGAGUUUAGAUUUAUUAUUAAAUCUAUAAUGGUAACAAAGAAAGUAAAAGAGUAAUGAAUAUGUUUAUACUCGUAAAUAAUUGAAAUUAGUGUAUAUAUAGAAAUUUAACAUGUCUCGUCGUCGAAAUGUUGAAGUGGUACCAUUGAUGGAUAAAGACGACGAUUGGAAAGAACAAGAUCUCGAAGAUUUAGUUUUGAAUGAUAUAUUGGAUAAUAUAAAACAAUAUCCACAAGUAGUUUCAUACAGACAACUCUGGAAAUCAAUUAUUUUGAUAUCAUUAGCUUCAUUUAUAUUAGGAAUUAUCACAUCUUACUAUUUAUAUAAUGUUUUUAAUGCUAACAAUUCAACAGUUCAAGUUGCUAAGAAAAAUGUGUAUAUAUACAUGAAAGAAAAUCUGUAUGAAGAUAUUAAUCAUAAAAACAUAGAAGAACAUUACAGAAUUCUACAGAAAACAGGAAGUGAGGAAUUACUUUCUUAUAUAAAAAAUAAUUGGGUAAAGGAAGGGCUUGAUACAGUGAAUAUUAUGUCUUACAAUUUUCUUACGUCUUCUAGUGAAGGAAGAUCGGAACAGUUAUCAAUCGUUGAAUCAAAUCAAAAUAAUUCGGAAAGCAUGAAGGAUGAAAAGAAUCAUUUUUAUGAAGUAAAAUGUAUUUAUUGUGAUUGCCCAUUCAUAAAGGAUCAAAUAGUGAUUUGAAAGAUGUCUGACAGGAUUCCUAAACAUAAAUGCAUUUCACAAUAUUAAAAUUAAAGGAUAAAUCUGCAUCUGCAGAUAAAAACACUGCCAAGAACUUUCCAGAAAAACUAUCCAAAAUAGUAAGAGAGGGUGGUUAUGUUCCUGACCGGAUUUUCAACAAUGAUGAAACAGAUCUAUACUGGAAUAAAAUUUUUGGUCACUUUUUACACAGUUUUUUGAAUGAAAUAUAAUUAUUUAUUUCAUUUCACAUGGGUUUUAAUUAAUAACUUGGAACAUAUCUCCCAUUUUACUAUAGGAAACAUCAGCUGUGCAUGAUUUUUUGAGGAAUGUAUCUUCUGUAAAAAUCAAAUUGGGUAUAAUUGUUACCAUCUCUAAGGCAUACAAUACAGAGCAAGUUCUCUAUGCAGUCCUGAUUUGCAGGGUGGUGAAUCAUCUCUGAAAUCCAAAUUGACAGAAGCACACAAAAUGUCAUAUUCCUUGUAAACCACAAAAGAAUCGCAUACGUCUCAGAGAUUGCACUAAACCAGGUCAGAAGAUGGCAGUGCUGUCACUUUUCAGAGCCAAGUG
This 1308-nucleotide unclassified non-coding RNA is filed under the name Centruroides sculpturatus (bark scorpion). RNAcentral describes it as "uncharacterized LOC111620976, transcript variant X2". The record is from RNAcentral. Lineage: Eukaryota; Metazoa; Arthropoda; Arachnida; Scorpiones; Buthidae.